Long non-coding RNA from Lynx canadensis (Canada lynx), 133 nucleotides. RefSeq lists it as uncharacterized. The transcript has 3 exons. The record is from RefSeq and is a predicted model, not a curated record. Lineage: Eukaryota; Metazoa; Chordata; Mammalia; Carnivora; Felidae.
CACGGUGAACAGUAUAACUCGGGAGCUUUCCCCCCCCCCCAGCGCCACUUCUUUUUUCUUGAAGUUUAGGCCUAACGUUAAACGAGCGCCCUUUCUAACCCUCUAUACUUAAAGAGGGUAGAUCAGAAGAGCA